This is a small nuclear RNA of Choloepus didactylus (southern two-toed sloth), 183 nucleotides long. RefSeq annotates it as U2 spliceosomal RNA. The record is from RefSeq and is a predicted model, not a curated record. The transcript has a single exon. NCBI's taxonomy places the organism in Eukaryota, Metazoa, Chordata, Mammalia, Pilosa, Megalonychidae.
UUUAUUUCUUGGUCUUUUGGCUAAGAUCCAGCAUAGUAUCUGUUCUUAUCACAGUAAUACUCCUCCUUUAUAUGAGAACAUAUUAAAUUGAUUUGGGGAGUAGGAAGAUGGAACAGGAGCUCUCUCCAUCUACUCCAUGCCUCACUCUGCUAUUGCAGUACACCCAGGAAUGCUGCACCCCUC